This 446-nucleotide ribosomal RNA is filed under the name uncultured soil bacterium. RNAcentral's name for it is "bacterial SSU rRNA". It matches the Rfam family "Bacterial small subunit ribosomal RNA", at positions 26 to 518 of the family's 1533-position model. The record is from RNAcentral.
AGAACGAACGCUGGCGGCAGGCUUAACACAUGCAAGUCGAACGGCUGUAGCAAUACAGCAGUGGCAGACGGGUGAGUAACACGUGGGAACCUUCCUAGGGGUACGGAACAACUCAGGGAAACUUGAGCUAAUACCGUAUACGUCCGUAAGGAGAAAGAUUCAUCGCCCCUAGACGGGCCCGCGUAGGAUUAGGUAGUUGGUGAGGUAACGGCUCACCAAGCCUACGAUCCUUAGCUGAUCUGAGAGGAUGAUCAGCCACACUGGGACUGAGACACGGCCCAGACUCCUACGGGAGGCAGCAGUGGGGAAUCUUGGACAAUGGGCGCAAGCCUGAUCCAGCCAUGCCGCGUGAGUGAAGAAGGCCUUCGGGUUGUAAAGCUCUUUUACCAGGGACGAUAAUGACGUACCUGGAGAAUAAGCCCGGCAAACUUCGUGCCAGCAGCCGC